Molecule: ribosomal RNA, 497 nt
Filed under: uncultured bacterium
Lineage: Bacteria
Description: partial 16S ribosomal RNA
Rfam family: Bacterial small subunit ribosomal RNA
Source: RNAcentral
GAUGAACGCUGGCGGCGUGCCUAAUACAUGCAAGUCGAGCGAACAGACGAGGAGCUUGCUCCUCUGACGUUAGCGGCGGACGGGUGAGUAACACGUGGAUAACCUACCUAUAAGACUGGGAUAACUUCGGGAAACCGGAGCUAAUACCGGAUAAUAUAUUGAACCGCAUGGUUCAAUAGUGAAAGACGGUUUUGCUGUCACUUAUAGAUGGAUCCGCGCCGCAUUAGCUAGUUGGUAAGGUAACGGCUUACCAAGGCAACGAUGCGUAGCCGACCUGAGAGAGUCGUCGGCCACACUGGAACUGAGACACGGUCCAGACUCCUACAGGAGGCAGCGGUAGGGAAUCUUCCGCAAUGGGCGAAAGCCUGACGGAGCAACGCCGCGUGAAUGAUGAAGGUCUUCGGAUCGUAAAACUCUGUUAUAAGGGAAGAACAAAUGUGUAAGUAACGAUGCACGUCUUGACGGUACCUAAUCAGAAAGCCACGGCUAACUACGUG